GACGAACCGUGCGAACGUUGUUCGGAUUCACUGGGCUUAAAGGGCGCGUAGGCGGGUUUUCAAGUCUGGGGUGAAAUCCUCUCGCUCAACGAGAGAACUGCCCUGGAUACUGGAGACCUCGAGGGAGGUAGGGGCAUGUGGAACUUCCGGUGGAGCGGUGAAAUGCGUAGAUAUCGGAAGGAACGCCGGUGGCGAAAGCGACGUGCUGGACCUCUUCUGACGCUGAGGCGCGAAAGCCAGGGGAGCAAACGGG
This 253-nucleotide ribosomal RNA is filed under the name uncultured bacterium. RNAcentral describes it as "partial 16S ribosomal RNA". It matches the Rfam family "Bacterial small subunit ribosomal RNA", at positions 524 to 776 of the family's 1533-position model. The record is from RNAcentral.